Molecule: ribosomal RNA, 577 nt
Filed under: uncultured bacterium
Lineage: Bacteria
Description: bacterial SSU rRNA
Rfam family: Bacterial small subunit ribosomal RNA
Source: RNAcentral
ACGGGUGAGGAACACGUAGGAAUCUGCCUUUAAGAGGGGGACAACCGGAGGAAACUCCGGCUAAUACCGCAUAAUACUCUGAGGAGGAAAUGCUGGGGCAACCUGGCGCUUAAAGAGGAGCCUGCGUCCGAUUAGCUAGUUGGUAGGGUAAAGGCCUACCAAGGCGAUGAUCGGUAGCUGGUCUGAGAGGAUGAUCAGCCACACUGGGACUGAGACACGGCCCAGACUCCUACGGGAGGCAGCAGUGGGGAAUAUUGGACAAUGGGGGCAACCCUGAUCCAGCAAUACCGCGUGUGUGAAGAAGGCCUUCGGGUUGUAAAGCACUUUAGGUUGGGAAGAAGUUGCAUAGUUUAAGAGAUAAUGCAAUUGACGGUACCAACAGAAUAAGCACCGGCUAACUCUGUGCCAGCAGCCGCGGUAAUACAGAGGGUGCAAGCGUUAAUCGGAGUUACUGGGCGUAAAGGGCGCGUAGGCGGUUGUAUAAGUGAGAUGUGAAAGCCCUGGGCUUAACCUAGGAACUGCAUCUUAUACUGUAUGACUAGAGUAUUGUAGAGGGUAGUGGAAUUUCCGGUGUAGC